GAUGAACGCUAGCUACAGGCUUAACACAUGCAAGUCGAGGGGCAGCGGUAUCGAAAGCUUGCUUUCGGUAGCCGGCGACCGGCGCACGGGUGAGUAACGCGUAUCGAACCUGCCUCAUACUCGGGAAUAGCCUUGCGAAAGUAAGAUUAAUGCCCGGUGUUUUCAGAGUCCCGCAUGAGGCUUUGAACAAAGAUUUAUCGGUAUGAGAUGGCGAUGCGUCCCAUUAGCUUGUUGGCGGGGUAACGGCCCACCAAGGCAUCGAUGGGUAGGGGUUCUGAGAGGAAGGUCCCCCACAUUGGAACUGAGACACGGUCCACACUCCUACGGGAGGCAGCAGUGCGGAAUAUUGGUCAAUGGGCGGAAGCCUGAACCAGCCAAGUAGCGUGCAGGAAGACGGCCCUCCGGGUUGUAAACUGCUUUUAGUUGGGAAUAAAACGGGGCUCGUGAGCCCCCUUGCAUGUACCAUCAGAAAAAGGACCGGCUAAUUCCGUG
RNAcentral lists this ribosomal RNA (492 nucleotides) under uncultured bacterium. RNAcentral's name for it is "partial 16S ribosomal RNA". It matches the Rfam family "Bacterial small subunit ribosomal RNA", at positions 28 to 507 of the family's 1533-position model. The record is from RNAcentral.